RNAcentral lists this ribosomal RNA (253 nucleotides) under uncultured bacterium. Its description in RNAcentral is "partial 16S ribosomal RNA". It matches the Rfam family "Bacterial small subunit ribosomal RNA", at positions 524 to 776 of the family's 1533-position model. The record is from RNAcentral.
GACAGAGGGUGCAAACGUUGUUCGGAAUUACUGGGCAUAAAGAGCACGUAGGUGGUGCGCUAAGUCACGUGUGAAAUCCCCCGGCUCAACCGGGGAAUUGCGCGUGAUACUGGCGGACUCGAGGCGGGUAGGGGUGAGCGGAACUCCAGGUGGAGCGGUGAAAUGCGUAGAUAUCGUAAGGAAGACCAGUGGCGAAGGCGGGUCUCUGGACAGUUCCUGACGCUGAGGCACGAAGGCCAGGGGAGCAAACGGG